GACGAACGCUGGCGGCGUGCUUAACACAUGCAAGUCGAGCGGAAAACUUCGGUUUUCAGCGGCGGACGGGUGAGUAACACGUGGGCAACCUGCCUCACAAUGAGGGAUAGCCUUCCGAAAGGAAGAUUAAUACCUCAUAAAACAAGAGAAACGCAUGUUUCUCUUGCCAAAGAAUUUCGUUGUGAGAUGGGCCAGCGGCGCAUUAGCUUGUUGGUGAGGUAACGGCUCACCAAGGCUGCGAUGCGUAGCCGACCUGAGAGGGUGAUCGGCCACAUUGGAACUGAGACACGGUCCAGACUCCUACGGGAGGCAGCAGUGGGGAAUAUUGCACAAUGGAGGAAACUCUGAUGCAGCAACGCCGCGUGAGUGAUGAAGGUCUUCGGAUUGUAAAACUCUGUCUUCUGGGACGAUAAUAACGGUACCAGAGGAGGAAGCCACGGCUAACUACGUGCCAGCCGCCGCGGUAA
Molecule: ribosomal RNA, 467 nt
Filed under: uncultured bacterium
Lineage: Bacteria
Description: partial 16S ribosomal RNA
Rfam family: Bacterial small subunit ribosomal RNA
Source: RNAcentral